CCGGGUGAGUAACACGUAUCCAACCUGCCGUCUACUCUUGGACAGCCUUCUGAAAGGAAGAUUAAUACAAGAUGGCAUCAUGAGUCCACAUGUUCACAUGAUUAAAGGUAUUCCGGUAGACGAUGGGGAUGCGUUCCAUUAGAUAGUAGGCGGGGUAACGGCCCACCUAGUCUUCGAUGGAUAGGGGUUCUGAGAGGAAGGUCCCCCACAUUGGAACUGAGACACGGUCCAA
RNAcentral lists this ribosomal RNA (232 nucleotides) under uncultured bacterium. RNAcentral describes it as "partial 16S ribosomal RNA". It matches the Rfam family "Bacterial small subunit ribosomal RNA", at positions 103 to 334 of the family's 1533-position model. The record is from RNAcentral.